This 786-nucleotide ribosomal RNA is filed under the name uncultured bacterium. Its description in RNAcentral is "SSU rRNA". It matches the Rfam family "Bacterial small subunit ribosomal RNA", at positions 69 to 853 of the family's 1533-position model. The record is from RNAcentral.
AGGAAGAAAGCUUGCUUUCUUUGCUGGCGACCGGCGCACGGGUGAGUAACACGUAUCCAACCUGCCCUUUACUCGGGGAUAGCCUUUCGAAAGAAAGAUUAAUACCCGAUGGGAUAAUGAUUCCGCAUGGUUUGAUUAUUAAAGGAUUCCGGUAAAGGACGGGGAUGCGCUCCAUUAGGUUGUUGGUGAGGUAACGGCUCACCAAGCCUUCGAUGGAUAGGGGUUCUGAGAGGAAGGUCCCCCACAUUGGAACUGAGACACGGUCCAAACUCCUACGGGAGGCAGCAGUGAGGAAUAUUGGUCAAUGGGCGUGAGCCUGAACCAGCCAAGUAGCGUGAAGGAUGACUGCCCUAUGGGUUGUAAACUUCUUUUAUAUUAGAAUAAAGUGCAGUAUGUAUACUGUUUUGUAUGUAUAAUAUGAAUAAGGAUCGGCUAACUCCGUGCCAGCAGCCGCGGUAAUACGGAGGAUCCGAGCGUUAUCCGGAUUUAUUGGGUUUAAAGGGAGCGUAGGUGGACUGGUAAGUCAGUUGUGAAAGUUUGCGGCUCAACCGUAAAAUUGCAGUUGAUACUGUCAGUCUUGAGUACAGUAGAGGUGGGCGGAAUUCGUGGUGUAGCGGUGAAAUGCUUAGAUAUCACGAAGAACUCCGAUUGCGAAGGCAGCUCACUGGACUGCAACUGACACUGAUGCUCGAAAGUGUGGGUAUCAAACAGGAUUAGAUACCCUGGUAGUCCACACAGUAAACGAUGAAUACUCGCUGUUUGCGAUAUACAGUAAGCGGCCAAGCG